UAGUUAUUAGAAAGACAGACGAACAAUAAAGCGGCCUGGCACCGCAGGAGGGGAUACUGCUAUUGCACUUCAUUAAAAGAAAGUUGCUUGUUUAGAGCACAAUGAUAUGUGGUCACGCUUUCAAGUACCCGUGUCAGCCUGCGAAUAUAUAGCGCCUGAGAGAGUACAUGGAAGACAUUAUUAUUACACAAUGUCAGCCGGCUCUCCAGGACAACCAUUAGACUAUAAAUACACCCUCCUGAUCAUUAAUGCUCCGCUGUAGGGUCACACAGGAGUCAGCUCUGCAGCAAAGUCCUCUCUCCAUAGAUUGCUCGGAGAUACUGCAGCUGAUUCUCAGACAUUUUUGCAAUUUUUAAAGGUCAAAUGACGAAAAAAUUCAAUACGAUUCAAUACAGCCGGGAGGUCAUUGUCAGAUGCUGAGCUUUUAUUUAGCUAUGAAGGUGGCUGGUAUUGAAUUUCUUUGUCUGAGAGAGGCCACAGAAACAAGAAGUAGCCAUUUCCCAAAAACAAGCCAGCAACGUGAUGGGGGACACAGGACAUGGCCAUUUACCACCAACACAAGCACAGAUCCUUGGCAAAAAUCAUCAAUAUACGGUAUCUUCUUCCUCUAGAAACUGAUUUGCAUUUGAAUUGACUUUUCUUUAUGAUUUUCUGAAAAAUGGAAACUAAGCAAAAACAUAAGAAAAAAAAUAUAUAAUUAUUAUAUUAUAAAAUAAUAAUAAUAAUAAUAAUAUUCCCCCUAUAGCAGCCUUAUAUGUUAUGUAGCCAGAAAAUGCCUGCACAACCUUUCCAAGUCUUUGAGAAGCUUUUAUUUGUUCUCCAUUGCUAUUGAGUUGUGCAAUGUUGUCAAAUAUGUCUCCAUUUCUUGUCCACUUGUCUUCAUAGACACAUUAAAGUAUACCACAGAAA
Hyla sarda is the source of this 909-nucleotide long non-coding RNA. RefSeq lists it as uncharacterized. NCBI's taxonomy places the organism in Eukaryota, Metazoa, Chordata, Amphibia, Anura, Hylidae. The record is from RefSeq and is a predicted model, not a curated record. The transcript is spliced from 3 exons.